RNAcentral lists this ribosomal RNA (253 nucleotides) under uncultured bacterium. RNAcentral's name for it is "partial 16S ribosomal RNA". It matches the Rfam family "Bacterial small subunit ribosomal RNA", at positions 524 to 776 of the family's 1533-position model. The record is from RNAcentral.
UACGUAGGUGGCGAGCGUUGUCCGGAUUUACUGGGCGUAAAGAAUGCGUAGGUGGAUAUUUAAGUGGGAUGUGAAAUCCCCGGGCUCAACCCGGGAACUGCAUACCAAACUGGAUAUCUGGAGUGCAGGAGAGGAAAGCGGAAUUCCUAGUGUAGCGGUGAAAUGCGUAGAUAUUAGGAGGAACACCAGUGGCGAAGGCGGCUUUCUGGACUGUAACUGACACUGAGGCAUGAAAGCGUGGGGAGCAAACAGG